GAUGAACGCUGGCGGCGUGCCUAACACAUGCAAGUCGAACGAAGCAAUACUAUGAAGAAGGAUUUAGUUUACUAGAUCUGGGAACGAAGAAUUGACUGAGUGGCGGACGGGUGAGUAACGCGUGAGGAACCUGGCCUUUACAGGGGGAUAACAGUCAGAAAUGACUGCUAAUACCGCAUAAGCACACGCUAUCGCAUGAUAGCGAGUGAAAAGAUUUAUCGGUAAAGGAUGGCCUCGCGUCUGAUUAGUUAGUUGGUAGGGUAAUGGCCUACCAAGACAGCGAUCAGUAGCCGACCUGAGAGGGUGACCGGCCACAUUGGGACUGAGACACGGCCCAAACUCCUACGGGAGGCAGCAGUGGGGGAUAUUGCACAAUGGGGGAAACCCUGAUGCAGCGACGCCGCGUGAAGGAAGAAGUAUUUCGGUAUGUAAACUUCUAUCAGCAGGGAAGAAAAUGACGGUACCUGACUAAGAAGCCCCGGCUAACUACGUGCCAGCAGCCGCGGUAA
This 509-nucleotide ribosomal RNA is filed under the name uncultured bacterium. Its description in RNAcentral is "partial 16S ribosomal RNA". It matches the Rfam family "Bacterial small subunit ribosomal RNA", at positions 28 to 523 of the family's 1533-position model. The record is from RNAcentral.